AUUCCAGCUCUGUAAGCGUAUACCAAAGUUGUUGCAGUUAAAACGCUCGUAGUCGAACCUUGGCGGUUGUUUCACGUCAUCCUCACGGACGGCUGUGAUUCGGCCGCCUUUGUGGAGGGGGGUGUAGUGGUUCUUUACUGAGUUACUGCAUUUCCGCCACCGUCUACUGUGAAAAAAUUAGAGUGUUCAAAGCAGGCAAUUGCCGUGAAUACAUUAGCAUGGAAUAAUAGAAUAGGACUCGUCUUCUAUUUUGUUGGUUUGUUAGAAACGGGUAAUGAUUAAGAGGGAUGGUUGGGGGCAUUUGUAUUCCAGCGCUAGAGGUGAAAUUCUUGGAUUGUUGGAAGACAAACUGCUGCGAAAGCGUCUGCCAAGGACAUUUUCAUUA
Molecule: ribosomal RNA, 385 nt
Filed under: Rhodymeniales sp.
Lineage: Eukaryota; Rhodophyta; Florideophyceae; Rhodymeniales
Description: partial small subunit ribosomal RNA
Rfam family: Eukaryotic small subunit ribosomal RNA
Source: RNAcentral